CAUCACAUGGAUGUGGGGGAUGCUCAGUAUAUUAACCACGUUCCUACUGGCUGCUGGUACAGUAAGGUCACAUUUCCUGAUGCUGCAACUGGUCAGAAACCCUGAUGAACCUCAUUCCACUGAGCUUCUCUUGAUCUUUGAUUGACUUUUUGGUGUUAAUCAGUCUUUAAAGGAGGUGAGGAAUCCCCUGAAGAUGAGUUCAUGCAGCUCCC
Long non-coding RNA from Toxotes jaculatrix (banded archerfish), 212 nucleotides. RefSeq lists it as uncharacterized. The transcript is spliced from 3 exons. NCBI's taxonomy places the organism in Eukaryota, Metazoa, Chordata, Actinopteri, Toxotidae. The record is from RefSeq and is a predicted model, not a curated record.